This 478-nucleotide ribosomal RNA is filed under the name uncultured bacterium. Its description in RNAcentral is "partial 16S ribosomal RNA". It matches the Rfam family "Bacterial small subunit ribosomal RNA", at positions 28 to 507 of the family's 1533-position model. The record is from RNAcentral.
GAUGAACGCUAGCGGCAGGCCUAACACAUGCAAGUCGAGGGAGAAGCCCUUUCGGGGGCAGAAACCGGCGCACGGGUGCGUAACGCGUAUGCAACCUACCUUUCACAGGGGGAUAGCCCGAAGAAAUUUGGAUUAAUACCCCAUAAUAUUAUUGGAUGGCAUCAUUUGAUAAUUAAAACUGCGGUGGUGAAAGAUGGGCAUGCGUCCUAUUAGCUAGUUGGAGUGGUAACGGCACCCCAAGGCUACGAUAGGUAGGGUUGCUGGGAGGGAGCUCCCCCACACUGGUACUGAGACAGGGACCAGACUGCUACGGGAGGAAGCAGUGAGGAAUAGUGGUCAAUGGUCGGAAGACUGAACCAGCCAUGCCGCGUGCAGGAAGAAUGCCUUAUGGGUUGUAAACUGCUUUUAGAUGGGAAGAAUAAGGCGUACGUGUACGUUGAUGACGGUACCAUAUGAAUAAGCAUCGGCUAACUCCGUG